CCUUGUACACACCGCCCGUCACACCAUGGGAGUUGGUUUUACCCGAAGCCGGUGCGCUAACCGCAAGGAGGCAGCGGCCGAAGGCAAGCUCGGUGACUGGGGCG
RNAcentral lists this ribosomal RNA (104 nucleotides) under uncultured bacterium. Its description in RNAcentral is "partial 16S ribosomal RNA". It matches the Rfam family "Bacterial small subunit ribosomal RNA", at positions 1379 to 1482 of the family's 1533-position model. The record is from RNAcentral.